RNAcentral lists this long non-coding RNA (585 nucleotides) under Homo sapiens (human). Its description in RNAcentral is "non-protein coding lnc-CNKSR3-3:1". Lineage: Eukaryota; Metazoa; Chordata; Mammalia; Primates; Hominidae. The record is from RNAcentral.
AUAAACACUGCCACCUCCUCCCUCCUUCUCUCUUUACAAAUGUUACAACACAAUCAGAAAUUUCCUCUUUUCUUUCCUUCCUGCAUUUUCAGCAGGUUCCCUUGCGUCAGAAGCCCAGGAGGAAAACUCAAGGUUUUCUCACGAUGAGUCGGAGGAGGAUAUCGUGUAAAGAUCUGGGCCAUGCUGACUGCCAAGGGUGGCUGUAUAAGAAAAAGGAAAAGGGAAGUUUCCUAAGCAACAAAUGGAAAAAGUUCUGGGUGAUACUGAAGGGGUCGUCACUGUACUGGUAUAGCAAUCAAAUGGCAGAGAAAGCUGAUGGAUUUGUCAACCUGCCUGAUUUCACUGUGGAAAGAGCAUCUGAAUGCAAGAAAAAGCAGUAAGUUGUCUCUCAUCUUCCACAAAACUCUGAGCCAGGAUACUAUCUCUUCAUAAUGUUCACCAAGGGAUAUGGUGAUUUAGAAGUGAGUGAAGGUAACAUCGGAAUGUCUGAGAAUUUGAAGCAUUAUGGGUUGGCACCCUACAUAGAAAUAGAAGCAUUUAACCUCUCAUUUUCUGGAAUUUCGUUUUGUGGAGCAGAUGGAUUUU